CCUCCGUGGCCCCGCCGUGCCCGCCGCCCCCCAAGCCAGGGAGCCGGUGUGCCCCGCGGGCCCCUCCGGGACGCCCCCCGGCCCUGCCGGUCACGCCCGGCACCCCUGCGGCACCCACUUCGCAGCCUUCUCCCCGUUUCUCCUGAUCUGACGCCUCUGGAGCCGCAGGUGCUGAGCCCGGCUUGGCAGGUGGGCUCGUCCCAGGGCCGCCUGCCCGCAGGCCCACACCUGCUCGUAGGGGUCGGAGGCCCCGGUGUGCUGGCCUGGGCAGCCCGGGCAGAUGCUCGGGACGCGCUCACGGACCGUCCUCCGGUGAGGAGGUCGCGGGGCUCAGGGCCACAGGCCCCUGUGGACAGUCGGGCCUGCGGCCUCCCGGCCCCUGCGCCUGUGCUGUCCUCGGGCGCGGCCGGCAGCUGUGGCCGUGUUGGGGCGAGACCCAGCCGGCUGCGCCCUCAGCUCCCGCGGGGCAGGCCGUGGCGGGGGGGGCCCNGCUCAGGUGUCGGAUUGGAAGCCGCUCGCUCGUGGAAGAUAAAGUUGCCCUCCCCAGGGUAACCGGACACGUGGGGAAGCAGAGCGGCCUCUGCCCUGGGUGCUGCAUUUUGCUCGCCAGCUGCCGGCGCGCUGGGCCCUAGGCCAAGGANGAGGGGCCGUGCGACCCGCUCAGGUGUCGGAUUGGAAGCCGCUCGUGGAAGAUAAAGUUGCCCUCCACGGUAACCGGACACGUGGGGAAGCAGAGCGGCCUCUGCCGUGGGUGCUGCAUUUUGCUCGCCAGCUGCCGGCGCGCUGGGCCCUAGGCCAAGGAGCCCUGCCUGCGGCGGGGCCGGGGGCUCGGGCGGCCGGAGUGACCUUGUCGCUACUCCUUGCAGUUUGUGUUUCUUCCCCCAGAGACACUGCUCCGGCCUUGGCUUUGCGCUUCUCCCCUUGGGAGUCACGUUGAAACGUUUCUUUGAUUAGAGGAAGAAGAGAAUACUGAGGGGAUGAAGCUCGAGACUCCAAGAACUGGAGAGGGAAGCAGCCAGACAGGACCCCGGGGACGGGGAACACCAGGGCUGGGUCUGCUCCCCGGCAGCGGCAGCGCUUCCCCGGAAAGCCGCGGUCUUCCUGCCUUGCCGCCUUCUUCUGCUUCUUUCUUCUUUCUUCCUCCUCCUCCUCCUCCUCCUCCUCCUCCUCCUUCUUCUUCUUCUUCUUCUUCCUUCUUCCUUCUUCCUUCUUCCUUCUUUUUCUUCCUCUUCCUUCUUCUUCUUCCUCUUCCUUCUUCUUCCUUCUUCCUUCUUCCUUUCUUCUUUUCUUUUUUUCUUUUUUUUUUAAGCUCUGAGCCUUUCUUAGUUUGCAGGUCAUCUUGUUAAUUAAUNAUUCUUUUUCUUCUUCUUCUUCCUCUUCCUUCUUCUUCCUUCUUCCUUUUUCUUCCUUCUUCCUUCCUUCUUCUUUUUUUUUAAGCUCUGAGCCUUUCUUAGUUUGCAGGUCAUCUUGUUAAUUAAUUAAUUUUUUUCAUCUUGUUAAUUUAAAAAUAAGUACUUUGUGUUCGUGUAAAGUACAUUUAUUUCAAAUUUCAGAAGCUGUGCUACCUCGGAUGCUGUAUGCGGGGCGGGAUCAGGCCUCGGAGGGGUGGGUGUGGUUGCCCGCUGGCCGGACGCUCCAGGGAGGGCUGGGGGGCAGCCACGGGCAGGGAGUCAGGGUGACCUGGACCACGUCUCACAUCCCAGGGGCCACAUCGGUGGUAGCCUUUUUGGUGUUUUCACAGAAGUUCUAACCAGUGAUCGUGACGGGAACAUGCUCUCGGGCAAUGGAUGCCCGGUCAUCUUGGGGCUUGCAGCGGUGCUUGAAAGUACAUCCUCCAUCUCAAAAGAGAAUCCGGGCCAGGAUAAUCUUGUUAUCAUGUAGGGUUUGUUCACAGCCCCCUUUCUCUGGAGGAGGGGGGGUAAGGCCAGAGAGGACGAGGAGAGGACGAAGUGAGUGCUGGGAGGGUCCUCCGCCGUGGGGCUGGGCCCUGCACCCCUGUGUUUAGCCUUUGCUUUGACUCCAGUAGAAGUAAGAAUCCAGGGCAGCCCAGUGGCUCAGCGGUUUAGCGACGCCUUCAGCCCAGGGUGUGACCCUGGAGACUCGGGAUCGAGUUCCACGUGGGGCUCCCUGCAUGGAGCCCGCUUCUCCCUCUGCCUCUCUCUUUCCCUGUGUCUUUCGUGAAAAAAUAAAAUCUUUAAAAAAAAAAAGAAGAAGGAAGAC
RNAcentral lists this long non-coding RNA (2220 nucleotides) under Vulpes vulpes (red fox). Its description in RNAcentral is "lncRNA (ENSVVUG00000022647.1)". The record is from RNAcentral. Lineage: Eukaryota; Metazoa; Chordata; Mammalia; Carnivora; Canidae.